GACGAACGCUGGCGGCGUGCUUAACACAUGCAAGUCGAACGAUGAAGCCUAGCUUGCUAGGUGGAUUAGUGGCGAACGGGUGAGUAAUACGUGAGUGACCUACCUUUGACUCUGGGAUAAGCCUGGGAAACUGGGUCUAAUACCGGAUACGACCAAUCUCCGCAUGGGGUGUUGGUGGAAAGCGUUAUGGAGUGGUUUUAGAUGGGCUCACGGCCUAUCAGCUUGUUGGUGAGGUAAUGGCUUACCAAGGCGACGACGGGUAGCCGGCCUGAGAGGGUGACCGGCCACACUGGGACUGAGACACGGCCCAGACUCCUACGGGGGGCAGCAGUGGGGAAUAUUGCACAAUGGGCGCAAGCCUGAUGCAGCGACGCCGCGUGAGGGAUGACGGCCUUCGGGUUGUAAACCUCUGUUAGCAUCGAAGAAGCGAAAGUGACGGUAGGUGCAGAGAAAGCGCCGGCUAACUACGUG
RNAcentral lists this ribosomal RNA (471 nucleotides) under uncultured bacterium. Its description in RNAcentral is "partial 16S ribosomal RNA". It matches the Rfam family "Bacterial small subunit ribosomal RNA", at positions 28 to 507 of the family's 1533-position model. The record is from RNAcentral.